RNAcentral lists this long non-coding RNA (4706 nucleotides) under Homo sapiens (human). RNAcentral's name for it is "HSALNT0331757". Lineage: Eukaryota; Metazoa; Chordata; Mammalia; Primates; Hominidae. The record is from RNAcentral.
ACAGCUGUCGCUUGCCAGGCAGCCCGAGAGAGUUCUGGCGAGGGCUGCGGGAAGGAAAGGGGGCGGCGUCCUUCACAGGGAGGGUGCAGCUGACCUCCCUCCCCUUGUGCAGACUGGAAAAGAAUGGCCCAGAUCCUCUGGACUCCUCAGAUGAGCGGAUUCAGAGAGAAGCUUUUGAGAGCGUGCUGGCGGAGACAUUUUUCACAAAAGAGCCCUUGCGGUGCUGGUGUCCGUGGCGUGCCUGGGUGGAAAAUGAGCUUAUAUAUGAAGAAGUCAGCGAGUGGACAAAGCCAGGCGCAAUGGAUAGCAAAGAUGUGGAAGUCUCCUCGAUUCAAGUUACAAGAAAACCGCAGCAUGGAGUCUGCUCUCAGCUGUUGGGGAAUUACCGAUGCCUUUGACUAAGUCAAGACUGACUUUUCCAGAAUAUCACCCAAGAGAUAGAGCCGUCCCUGUCCAAGUUUGUGCGCUAGCCCUUCAUGGAGGUCAGAGAGGAAGAAACAAAGGCAGCUGUGGCCUCGGCGGUCACAGUGUCAGAACGCACAAGCCCCAUAAAGAGGUUUCACGCAGGCCACCCAUCCCUUUUCAUUCUCCAGCAGAACAGGACAGAGAGCGUUCUGUUCUGCGGAAGGUCUUCCACUCUACAAGGCAAUCCCUCCAGCUGCUUUGCUGUAUUGUGCUGUCUCCUGUCACACUAUGAAUGCAGUGACCUCAGCCAGCAACAGGGAGAACCCCCCUGCCUCCCGAACAAAGGACCUCACGUGAAAUCCUGAGCUCAGAGCUUACAGAUAUGUGUGCGCUUUCACUUUACAUCGGCCGUGACUUCCAAACAACUUCAGGAAACUUUAGGAUCUCUGAGGUAUACUGGAGAUGACAGCAGCGUAGAAUGUUCAUUUGGAUUUAGAACAGAAAUGCUUAUUUUAUAUUUGGCUGCUCCCAAACUGUCCCCAGACUUCCUCUCCAGUGGUUACCCUCCACUGCCCUGGAUGUCCCACGUUUACACUCCACACUCACACCUCCACCUUAACAAAGUCCUCCACUGGGUCAAACCAUACAUCGCUUCGUCUCUGUAGUGAUGACUUCCUGUCCUCUGCUCUGUGGAUAAAGACCCCAGAUAAAGAUGCCUGUGUUGCUCAACUCUUGUAAAUACUCUUGAGACAUUUUGAAAGCAGAAGGAAAGGAGACAGACGGGGAAAAUAAAAGGGAUGGUCUGCUUGUGCGGAAACGUUUUGAGAAUGCCCUUCCCUAAGAGAGAACAGUAAAAGUGAGCAAUACUUCCUGAGCUGUGGGUUCAUAUGGCUGGACUGUGCUGUUUCUCACGGGAGAAGUUCUCGUCUCCCCUGCGUGUACAUCCCUGUUUGCCAGCCUGGCCUUCGGUGUGGUGAUAUCAUGGUGCACUCCCAGGAGGGAAGUGCUUGGUCAAGACUUCUGCUUGGGUUCGACUAUCAGUUCUGGUUUCCUUUAAGGCACAGGAUCUUCCCUUUAAGGCACAAACACCCCCUUGACACAAAGUAAGGGACAAGGGAACUUUAAACCAUUUGGAAACCCAAGCACAAUAGGCUGUAGGUUGUAAAAAGAAAUUACAAAGGUAAUUUUAUCCAGAAGAGGGAGCAGUUUAACUUCUGCAGGGUAAGAUUCAGAUUCACUUUUGUAACUGAACAGGGAAUUUUCUAAAUAUUUUGAAAAUGCCGAAACAUUUCCUGUUGGCAUUUCACAGAAACGUUCAAAGUUCCCUAAUGAUAGUUUCCGCUGUGCUCACUCCGGAGGCUGCUAAGCAACCUCAGUAAUUAGCUCGAUUGAGGAAACGAAACUGUGGGGGACUCAGUUUCCAUGAUAGGGAAACCAGGCAAGAAAUAUUGUCUCCUCAAGUUGCGACGAGACAGUAGUUCUUGCCUGGUUUCUCUAUCAUGGAGUCUUGGUUGGACUCUGCUAUGCGUCUCUUGAUGAAAUGUGAUACUAGCAAUUGAACAAUUAAGAAAAUGGAUGGCGGGGGGUGGAGCGGUUUGUCACUACUGGAGUUGCAGAGGCUCAGUGGGGGAACCUGAGAAACACUGCGUCCCCCAGGUCAUCACCGCGUCAGCACUGAUGAGUCAUGUUGAUGGCAUGGACCCUGAAUAUGACACAAUGAGAUGUCACUUUACCUCUGUGGCCUUUCCCAGAAAAAACCAUAACCCCAGUCUAACCAUGAGAAAAAUAUAAGACAAUGGUGCAGGCAGGGCAUUUCAGGAGAGGGUCAGGUAAAGGGGAGGGGGUCCCAGGAGAGGGUCAGGGGAGGGGACUUCAGGAGAGGGACAGGGAGAGGGGAGGGGGCUCCAGGAGAGGGUCAGGGAAAGGGGAGGGGGUCCCAGGAGAGGGUCAGGGAAAGGGGAGGGGGGUCCCAGGUGAGGGUCAGGGGAGGGGACUUCAGGAGAGGGACAGGGAGAGGGGAGGGGGCUCCAGGAGAGGGUCAGGGAAAGGGGAGGGGACUUCAGGUGAGGGUCAGGGAAAGGCGAGGGGGUCCCAGGACAGGGUCAGGGGAGGGGACUUCAGGAGAGGGACAGGGAGGGGGGAGGGGGGCUCCAGGAGAGGGUCAGGGAUAGGGGAGGGGGGUCCCAGGAGAGGAUCAGGGGAAGGGGUGGGGCUUCAGGAGAGGGUCUGAGAACACACAGGCAGGCAACACCUUAAAAUCCCAUCUCAGUCAGCAAUGACUCCUCAUAGGGCCACCACGAGCUUAAAUGUCACUUAAAUGUCCCUAUUUGCCAGCCUGGACUUCGGUGUGGUGAUAUCAUGGUGCAUUCCCAGGAGGGAAGUGCUUGGUCAAGACUUCUGCUUGGGUUCGACUGUCGGUUCUGGUUUCACAUGCACUGUGUGAACACGCUUCAUACAGAGGGUCAGCACCGCACUGUGUGAACAUGCUUCAUGCAGAGAGCCUGUACUGCACCAGGUGAACACACUUCAUACAGAGAGUCAGCACCGCACCGUGUGAACAUGCUUCAUACAGAGAGUCAGCACCGCACUGUGUGAACACGCUUCAUACAGAGAGUCAGCACCGCACCGUGUGAACACACUUCAUACAGAGAGUCAGUACUGCACCGUGUGAACAUGCUUCAUACAGAAGAUCAGCACCUCACUGUGUGAACACACUUCAUACAGAAGGUCAGCAAUGCACCGUGUGAACACACUUCAUACAGAGAGUCAGCACUGCACUGUGUGAACAUGCUUCAUACAGAAGAUCAGCACCUCACUGCGUGAACAUGUGUUAUACAGAGAGUCAGCACCGCACCGCGUGAACAUCCUUCAUACAGGUCAGCACUGCACCAUGUGAACACACUUCAAACAGAGAGUCAGUACUGCACCAUGUGAACAUGCUUCAUACAGAAGAUCAGCACCUCACUCUGUGAACAUGUGUCAUACAGAAGGUCAGCACUGCACUGUGUGAACACGCUUCAUACAGAAGGUCAGCACCGCAUUGUGUGAACAUGUGUCAUACAGAGAGUCAGCACCGCACCGUGUGAACACGCUUCAUACAGAGGGUCAGCACCGCAUUGUGUGAACAUGCUUCAUACAUGAGGUCAGCACCUCAUUGUGUGAACACACUUCAUACAGAGUCAGCACUGCACUACGUGAACAUGCUUCAUACAGAGGGUCAGCACCUCACUGUGUGAACACGCUUCAUACAGAGAGUCAGCACCGCACCGUGUGAACACGCUUCAUACAGAGGGUCAGCACCGCACUGUGUGAACACACUUCACACAGAGGGUCUGUACCACAUUCCGUCAACAUGUGUCAGCACCAUACCAUGUGAACACGCUUGGUACAGUGAUAUACAUGCAUGUGGCAGAGCUGUGAAAUUAUGACCUGCUGCAGACAGACUUUGUACACUGUGCUAUCAGCCAACUGGGCAAAUGUGGACAAGAGUCCCUGCAUGUCUCUAUUCACCAGGUGUCUGUCAAAUGAAAUGGGCUGAACUGGAUAAUGGCAGGUCUGACCCAUGAUUACUGCCUGUAAGAGCUGAGUUAUCCCAGAGUGUAGGCGUGGGAUAUUAAAAUAUAUAUAUAUGCAAAUAUAUUUGGGCUGGGUUUGGUGGGUCAUGCCUGUAAUCCAGCACUUUGGGAGGCUCAGGCAGGCGGAUAACCUGAGGCCAGGAAUUCAAGACCAGCCUGGCCAACAUGGUGAAACCCCGUCUCUACAAAAAAAUACAAAAAAUUGGCCAGGCACGGUGGCUCACGCCUAUAAUCCCAACACUUUGGGAGGCCGAGGUGGGCAGAUCACCUGAGGUCAGGAGUUUGAGACCAGGCUGGCCAACAUAUAGUGAAACCCCAACUCUACUAAAAAAAUACAAAAAUUAACUGGGAGUGGUGGCAAACGUCUGUGGUCCCAGCUACUUGGGAAGCUGAGGCAGGAGAAUCGCUCAAACCCGGGAGGUGGAGGUUGCAGUGAGCCGAGAUACCGCCACUCCACUCCAGCCUGGGUGACAGAUCAAGACUCCAUCUCUCAAAAAAACAAGAACAAAAACAAAAAACAACAACUUAGCCGGACGUGGUGGUGGGUGCCUGUAAUCUCAGCUACUCAGGAGGCUGAGGCACAAGAAUCCCUUGAACCUGGGAGGUGGAGGUUGCAGUGAGCAGAGAUCUCACCAUUGCACUCCAGCCUGGGCAACAAGAGCGAAACUCCAUCUCAAAAAAUAAAUAAAUAAAUAAAUAAUAAAUAAAAAUAAAAAUAUAUUUGGU